This 606-nucleotide ribosomal RNA is filed under the name Clostridioides difficile. Its description in RNAcentral is "bacterial LSU rRNA". It matches the Rfam family "Bacterial large subunit ribosomal RNA", at positions 2239 to 2847 of the family's 2925-position model. The record is from RNAcentral. Lineage: Bacteria; Bacillati; Bacillota; Clostridia; Peptostreptococcales; Peptostreptococcaceae.
UCUGGUCUUGGGACACUGUCAGGUGGGCAGUUUGACUGGGGCGGUCGCCUCCCAAAAGGUAACGGAGGCGCUCAAAGGUUCUCUCAGUACGGUCGGAAAUCGUACGUAGAGUGUAAAGGCAAAAGAGAGCUUGAUUGCAAGACAUACAGGUCGAGCAAGGAUGAAAAUCGGACUUAGUGAUCCGGUGGUUCUGCGUGGAAGGGCCAUCGCUCAACGGAUAAAAGCUACCCUGGGGAUAACAGGCUUAUCUCCCCCAAGAGUCCACAUCGACGGGGAGGUUUGGCACCUCGAUGUCGGCUCAUCACAUCCUGGGGCUGUAGUAGGUCCCAAGGGUUGGGCUGUUCGCCCAUUAAAGUGGUACGCGAGCUGGGUUCAGAACGUCGUGAGACAGUUCGGUCCCUAUCCGUCGCAGGCGUAGGAAAUUUGAGAAGACCUGUCCUUAGUACGAGAGGACCGGGAUGGACGUACCUCUGGUGUACCAGUUGUCCUGCCAAGGGCAUGGCUGGGUAGCUAUGUGCGGAAUGGAUAAGCGCUGAAAGCAUCUAAGCGCGAAGCCAACUUCAAGAUAAGAUUUCCCACCGCAAGGGUAAGACCCCAGAAAGACUA